GGGCCCGUGGCUCAGCCUGGUUAGAGCGUCCGCCUGAUAAGCGGAAGGUCCGGGGUUCGAAUCCCCGCGGGCCCA
RNAcentral lists this transfer RNA (75 nucleotides) under Candidatus Methanodesulfokora washburnensis. RNAcentral's name for it is "tRNA-Ile". It matches the Rfam family "tRNA". From Rfam's summary of the family: Transfer RNA (tRNA) molecules are approximately 80 nucleotides in length. Their secondary structure includes four short double-helical elements and three loops (D, anti-codon, and T loops). RNAcentral also lists the same sequence under 1 other name. Lineage: Archaea; Thermoproteati; Thermoproteota; Candidatus Korarchaeia. The record is from RNAcentral.